Molecule: transfer RNA, 78 nt
Filed under: Camelus bactrianus (Bactrian camel)
Lineage: Eukaryota; Metazoa; Chordata; Mammalia; Artiodactyla; Camelidae
Also listed under: 2 other names
Rfam family: tRNA
About the family: Transfer RNA (tRNA) molecules are approximately 80 nucleotides in length. Their secondary structure includes four short double-helical elements and three loops (D, anti-codon, and T loops). Further hydrogen bonds mediate the characteristic L-shaped molecular structure. tRNAs have two regions of fundamental functional importance: the anti-codon, which is responsible for specific mRNA codon recognition, and the 3' end, to which the tRNAs corresponding amino acid is attached (by aminoacyl-tRNA synthetases). tRNAs cope with the degeneracy of the genetic code in two manners: having more than one tRNA (with a specific anti-codon) for a particular amino acid; and 'wobble' base-pairing, i.e. permitting non-standard base-pairing at the 3rd anti-codon position.
Source: Rfam by way of RNAcentral
GAGGGUAUAGCUCAGUGGUAUAGUACAUGCCUAGCCCUAGCAUGCACGAGGUCCUGGGUUCAAUCCCCAGUACCUCCA